RNAcentral lists this ribosomal RNA (467 nucleotides) under uncultured bacterium. RNAcentral describes it as "partial 16S ribosomal RNA". It matches the Rfam family "Bacterial small subunit ribosomal RNA", at positions 28 to 507 of the family's 1533-position model. The record is from RNAcentral.
GACGAACGCUGGCGGCGUGCUUAACACAUGCAAGUCGAACGGAAAGGCCCUGCUUUUGUGGGGUGCUCGAGUGGCGAACGGGUGAGUAACACGUGAGUAACCUGCCCUUGACUUUGGGAUAACUUCAGGAAACUGGGCUAAUACCGGAUAGGAGCUCCUGCUGCAUGGUGGGGGUUGGAAAGUUUCGGCGGUUGGGGAUGGACUCGCGGCUUAUCAGCUUGUUGGUGGGGUAGUGGCUUACCAAGGCUUUGACGGGUAGCCGGCCUGAGAGGGUGACCGGCCACAUUGGGACUGAGAUACGGCCCAGACUCCUACGGGAGGCAGCAGUGGGGAAUAUUGCACAAUGGGCGGAAGCCUGAUGCAGCAACGCCGCGUGCGGGGUGACGGCCUUCGGGUUGUAAACCGCUUUCGCCUGUGACGAAGCGUGAGUGACGGUAAUGGGUAAAGAAGCACCGGCUAACUACGUG